CAGAGAGCAAGAGGAAGUGAGCAAGGGAGGUCAUUCGCAAUUCUGUCACUCCUAAAUUUGUCUGAACCUUUUUGGAAGGCAUUUGUAUUUCCUGCCAGCACCACCUCUUGGGGGUGAUGAAUUCCAAUAAGUUUCAAUCCGUUUAUUACUCACUGUGAGAGAAAUUGCUUCCUUUUAUGUCUGGAACUAAACCUGGAUCACAUUUCACAGGAUAUCCCCUAGUCACAGAGUUUUGGAAUCUGACCUGGAGGCAAAGGUAUGGAUGAGAUCACAUAGCAAGGAGAUUGCUGCUGAGAAGGAGUCAAAGCCUGGGUUUUACUUGUGGCCUUGCUGCUACACCAACUUUACUGACAUGCCAUUCUGGGAUAGUCUUUUCUCUCUGAGGCUUCAAGAGAAGAUGAGAAUACAUUCCAUCCCUACCUCUUGGAGUCAUUGUGAGGACUCAGAUGAAGUGCAGCAUCACGCAACAGAACUCAGAUGCCCUCACUGCAUCUCAAAUGCACUCAGAGAAAGCAUGGAGACACAUGCUGUUUCGGCACUUUCCCCAAGAUCAGAGAGUUAUAGGAGCUGGAGCUGGAUAGAAGCCUGGUGUACACCUCUCUGACUAUUGCUUCACUGGGCCACCUGGCAUCCUGUGGAGGGGCUUCUGAGCACCUGUAAUCUGAUGGAGAGCAUGGCAGAGGCAGCUGGAUGCUAGACACUGAGGAGACACCUGAGUCUGACAAGUGGAAAGAGAUGUGUGUGGGGAAAGGAGAUCAGGCAAAGGCUCCGCAGUAGGAAGGCCAGAGUGGCCCCUGAGACCACAGGAAGAAAAGGGAAGCAAUGCUGGACAGCCGGCCAGCUCCUGGGCUGUGGGGCCAGCAGCCAUUAGAGACAGUCAGAGUAGAGGACCCUUAGACCCCACCAGACCCUGCAGAGGAUGAAACAGAAGGAUGCAAAGAGAUUUGUCCUCUUAAGAGAGGAAACAAAUACAAAUCACAAUGAAAUGCCACUUUCCUGCAUCGGAUUAACGAAUACUCGAAAGCUUAAUACUACUUAGUGUUGGCCAGGACUUUCCUUUUGCACAAUUUUGAUGGGCGAGUCAAUUGGGAAAGUGUUUGUGAGUGCAGUUUGGCAAUAUGUGUGUAUCUACAUUUUAAAUGCACAUACUUUUUGGUCCAGAAAAAGUCCCCUGAGGAUACACAUAUACCUGCAGGAUAAAUGCACACAUACAUAUAUUUAGGGUUGGCAUUUUUACAAACAGAAAAUUAAAAAUGAUCUUCAUCAGUAGGUUAAGCAAAUAAAUUAUGAUAAUACAAACUAGGGAAUACUGUGGCUUCGUAUUACUCUUAAAAUAAAACCCCAAGCCCUUUCCCAUGGCCUAUAAGGCCUGGGAUGAUUUGGUCCCUUCCCCGUUCUCACCCUAAUUUUCCACUGCUCUUUCUCUCCUCCUGCUCCAGUUCCUAGAGGCUAUAGCUGUUCCACAGACCAAGGCAGUUCCACCCUUAGGGCCUUUGCUCCUGCAGUUUCUCCUUCUUGGAAGGUUUUCUCCCCCAGAUAUUAAUACGACUGUCUCCUCACUCUAUUUAUACCUCUGUUCAAAUAUCAACAUGUGGUGAACAGCUUCGAAAAUGACCCUUAACGACCUGCCCUCCUGGUAUGGAUUCCCUCCCUUCUAGUGUGAGCUGGACCUAGUGACUUACUAAUAAUGAAUAGAAUAUUUUAAAAGGGGGGAUUUCACUUCUGAGAUCUUAUAACAGAAUACCAUGACUUCAUCUUGCAUGCUCUUUCUCUCUCCCUCUGUCUUCCUCUCCCUGUCAUUCUUGCUUGUGAGUAAGCAGGCUGCCAUGCUGUGAGCUGCCCUAUGGAGAAGUCCACAUGGCAAGGAACUGAGGGAUACCUUCAGCCAACAGCCAAUGAGGAACUGAUGCUCCCAGAGAACAGCCUGUAGGAAACUAAUUCCUGCUAACAACCUUCAGAUGACUGCAGGUCUGGCUGGCAACUCAACUGAAGCCUGAGAGAGAUCCUGAAGCAGCGGGUGCAGCUAAGCCUCUGCUGGAUUCCCAUUAGACAGAAACUGUGAGUCAUGAAUACUGUUGUUUUAAACACUAAGUCUUGGGGUAAUUUGAAACACAGCGAUAGACCACUGAUACAGAAUCCCUGGGAGAAGUGUUCUAUGACUAUGCAAUUUAAAACAGUAUUCUUUGUUGCACAGUGACCCCUUAACCUGCUUUAUUUUAUUUCAUAGCAUGUAUUUCUUGGACAUUCUUUGAUAUCUUUUUGUUUGUGUAUUUCUUUCUCUUUACUAGAAUGUAAAGUUUUAUGAGGACAAAACUCUUGCUUAUCAUUGUGUUCCCUCGUGCCUAGAAGAGUGCCUGACAUUAAGUGGGUGCUCACGUUUGCAUCACCAGUUUUCCAUGAGAGCACCAAGCCUGUGAUUUCAGUAGAAGCUUAACUGCUCGUCUUUGAGGCACCAAAUCUGAAAAGCGAUCUUCCUGAAGACCAUGCUAAGGCAAGAACAUCCAUAUAAGGGAGAAUUCCUGAAAGUGUUCUAACACUUCAGUGGAAACUCAUCAAUGCUCUGUACCCAGAAUAAUCCCAUUUCGGAGGGUGCAUGGAUGGGGCAGAUGCAUGAUGUGCCCUGAGGAGCAGAGGAAACAUGGGCUUGGGUUGUGAAGGAUCUCAGAGAAGCUCUCCUGGACUGGCCCAAAUGUCUCAAACUUUAAUGUGCACAUAAAUCUAUUAAAAUGCAGCUUCCACUUCAACACAUCUGGAGUGAGACCAGGUAUUCUGCAUUUUUAACAAACUCUGGUGUAUGCUGGCGGAUGUCUGGAGUGCUGCUGGUCCAUGGACCGCAUGUUGAGUAGCAAGGCCCU
Molecule: long non-coding RNA, 2855 nt
Filed under: Homo sapiens (human)
Lineage: Eukaryota; Metazoa; Chordata; Mammalia; Primates; Hominidae
Description: HSALNT0060913
Source: RNAcentral